UUAUGGAAAAUUCAACAUUAAUAUUAUAAUAUUUAUUUAUAAAUAUUAUGAAAAUAGUGUGCAAUUUUUCCAUAUAAGGACAUUGUAAUCUGUUAAUGUAAUAAAUAUUUAUCAUAAGAUUCAAUAAUAAAAAGUUUAUUCAAAUUAGUUAUUUUCGAAUUUCUAACAUAAAAUAAAUUUAAUUGAAUUUGAUAAAUCAUUGACAGAUUUAUUUAUAUAUAAUGCUUAAAUUCUUAAUUGAAUUUUACAAUAAUUUUUAAAUUUAUUUUAAUUUAUUAAUUUAAUUGUAUGCAUUUAUAUGAUUAACAAUGCUAUAGAUUCAGGAUACCUUCGGGACCCGUCUUGAAACACGGACCAAGGAGUCUAACAUAUGUGCAAGUCAUUGGGUAUUUUUGAAAAGCCCAAAGGCAUAAUUAACUUAACUGUUUUGGUAUGGGAUUAGUUUAUAUUUUAUUAUGAAAUAUUAAUUCAAUCCCGGGGCGUUCUAUAUAGUUAUGUAUAAUAAUAUUUAUAUUAUUUAUGCCUCUAACUAGAGCGUACCUUGAGCAUAUAUGC
This 555-nucleotide ribosomal RNA is filed under the name Merodon segetum. RNAcentral's name for it is "partial large subunit ribosomal RNA". Lineage: Eukaryota; Metazoa; Arthropoda; Insecta; Diptera; Syrphidae. The record is from RNAcentral.